This 492-nucleotide ribosomal RNA is filed under the name uncultured bacterium. RNAcentral describes it as "partial 16S ribosomal RNA". It matches the Rfam family "Bacterial small subunit ribosomal RNA", at positions 29 to 507 of the family's 1533-position model. The record is from RNAcentral.
AGUGAACGCUGGCGGUAGGCCUAACACAUGCAAGUCGAACGGCAGCACAGUAAGAGCUUGCUCUUACGGGUGGCGAGUGGCGGACGGGUGAGGAAUACAUCGGAAUCUACUUUUUCGUGGGGGAUAACGUAGGGAAACUUACGCUAAUACCGCAUACGACCUACGGGUGAAAGCAGGGGAUCUUCGGACCUUGCGCGAUUGAAUGAGCCGAUGUCGGAUUAGCUAGUUGGCGGGGUAAAGGCCCACCAAGGCGACGAUCCGUAGCUGGUCUGAGAGGAUGAUAAGCCACACUGGAACUGAAACACGGUCCAGACUCCUACGGGAGGCAGCAGUGGGGAAUAUUGGACAAUGGGGGCAAACCUGAUCCAGCCAUACCGCGUGGGUGAAGAAGGCCUUCGGGUUGUAAAGCCCUUUUGUUGGGAAAGAAAAGCAGCAGGUUAAUACCCCGCUGUUCUGACGGUACCCAAAGAAUAAGCACCGGCUAACUUCGUG